AUGGCCAACUUCGCCGUCCAGCUCAAGGAUAGGUUUUUCGGCCUUGUCGACCGGGUCGCCGGCUGCGGCCGCGCCGGGGUCAGGGAGGAGGGCCCCCAAGUCGGCGCCGGCGCCGGCCGUGCAGGAGCACGUCGAGAUUCGACCGAGAGGCCCCAAUGUGUCAGGAGGAUCGGAGGCGGGAGUCAAUUAGACAGUGUGGAUGCUACUCGUUUGUUACUGUCUGCUGAUGUCUGGAGUGUUAUCGCUUCGUUUCAGAUUCACGUGCCUUCCCUUGUUCUGAAAGUUGAAACAAAUGCUUUCCUUGCUGGUGUUCUGAAUGCGUGA
Molecule: ribosomal RNA, 324 nt
Filed under: Triticum aestivum (bread wheat)
Lineage: Eukaryota; Viridiplantae; Streptophyta; Magnoliopsida; Poales; Poaceae
Description: partial small subunit ribosomal RNA
Source: RNAcentral